GGAAGCCCACAGCUUCUGGGCAGGGACCUCUUGGUUGUUCUUUCAGAUUCAGGGAAGCUGUCAGUUCUCAGAUUUUGCAAUGAAAUGCAUAGGUUUUUCGCAGUAACACAUGUUCAACUUUCGUCUCCUGGAAAUCCUACGGAUCAAAUUGGAAGAAUGUUAGCCGUUGAUUCCAAUGGUUGUUUUAUUGCAGCUAGUGCAUAUGAAGACAGUUUGGCGCUUUUCUCCCGCUCUGCUUCAGUUGGCAGUGAUAUAUUUGAUAAGAGAAUCUUUUGUCCCACUGACAAGCAAGGGAAGAUCAAGACUGCGAAUGGUUUCACUAGUAUCUGCGGUACCAU
Molecule: unclassified non-coding RNA, 338 nt
Filed under: Hevea brasiliensis (rubber tree)
Lineage: Eukaryota; Viridiplantae; Streptophyta; Magnoliopsida; Malpighiales; Euphorbiaceae
Source: RNAcentral